Molecule: long non-coding RNA, 205 nt
Filed under: Elaeis guineensis (African oil palm)
Lineage: Eukaryota; Viridiplantae; Streptophyta; Magnoliopsida; Arecales; Arecaceae
Description: long non-coding RNA (EGUI_LNC052822)
Source: RNAcentral
UACUCCGAGCUCCCACGAUAAUCGAUCUUCGAUUGAGUUUCUACAAUAAGCGGUCCCCUUUCGGCCUUCUACAAGGAUCAGAUUCCAUCCAAACUUACAUAGCGGGUGGAUAUCGGACGAGCUUCUACGAUGGACAGACUCCGACAGCCGAUCUUGUCAGAGCACCCCCAACUCUGGUUUAGACUUCCCUUACAGGUCCCGGCAG